Molecule: transfer RNA, 72 nt
Filed under: Spinacia oleracea (spinach)
Lineage: Eukaryota; Viridiplantae; Streptophyta; Magnoliopsida; Caryophyllales; Amaranthaceae
Rfam family: tRNA
About the family: Transfer RNA (tRNA) molecules are approximately 80 nucleotides in length. Their secondary structure includes four short double-helical elements and three loops (D, anti-codon, and T loops).
Source: Rfam by way of RNAcentral
AGCCUAUUAGCUCAACUGGUCGAGCACCGUACAACUUGUGCGGAGAUGUAGGUUCAAAUCCUACAUAGGCUU